AUUUCUCAUGACUGCUCUUCAUCCGGAAAUCGUACGAUACUUUUUCUUUCAAUUGAGCUGGAGUUGAAAUAGAAAAACGUCGAUUUGUUCUGAGCAAAACAAAAAAGAAACUCCGCAAAACAGGGAUCACAACAUGGCUGAACAAAAUACUCCGCAACAUUUACGUAGACACUGUUUUUAAUGGUGAUGACUAGCAAGGAGAAAUUUAAAAAUAGAAGCAAGGAAAGUUAAUCUCCGAUGUAUGCAGGAAUCGCCAGAUAAUUUUCGGUUUCAAAGAGUACCAUUUGGGGUAAAAAGCAGCUCAGUUCUACUGAACUUUCCGAUCAAGAACCAGAGAUUCUAUGAAACAUAUAUGAUGACAAUAUCUUCAAGGGCGGAAACAUGAUCUUUGGUGCAGCACUAAUGAUGGAAAUAAUCGUUAUUCAGACUAUUUUUUUAAAAAAUAAUUUGCAGAAGUAUAUGUUUCGUUUAUUUUUUUUUAAUCUUUCCGUUUAGUGGUUUAAGUAAUAUAUAAAUUUUUUUUUUCAGAAAGUUUUUUUGUAUUAUAGUAUUUGCAGAGUACACUUCUGGAUGACGGAUUGGUGUAGUUUCUGUCAAAAAGUAUAAUUUUUGAUAUAAAACAACUCCAAUUUUAAUUUUUAUCACAACUCAAACCUUUUUUUAUGAAAAUUCAAUUCUCUAAUAUUUAUUUCUUAUUUAUUAAAUUUUUUUCUA
Long non-coding RNA from Caenorhabditis elegans, 714 nucleotides. Ensembl annotates it as ncRNA. Its record names the gene linc-19. NCBI's taxonomy places the organism in Eukaryota, Metazoa, Nematoda, Chromadorea, Rhabditida, Rhabditidae. The record is from Ensembl.